AGUGAACGCUGGCGGCAGGCCUAACACAUGCCAGUCGAGCGGCAGCGCGGGGGCAACCCUGGCGGCGAGCGGCGGACGGGUGAGGAAUUCGUCGGAAUCUGCCUUUUUGUGGGGGAUAACGUAGGGAAACUUACGCUAAUACCGCAUACGUCCUACGGGAGAAAGUGGGGGACCGCAAGGCCUCACGCAGAAAGAUGAGCCGCCGCCCGAUUAGCUAGUUGGUGGGUUAAAGGCCCACCAAGGCGACGAUCGGUAGCUGGUCUGAGAGGAUGAUCAGCCACACUGGGACUGAGACACGGCCCAGACUCCUACGGGAGGCAGCAGUGGGGAAUAUUGGACAAUGGGCACAAGCCUGAUCCAGCCAUGCCGCGUGUGUGAAGAAGGCCUUCGGGUUGUAAAGCACUUUUGUCCGGAAAGAAAUCCCUGGAGCUAAUACCUUCGGGGGAUGACGGUACCGGAAGAAUAAGCACCGGCUAACUUCGUG
This 484-nucleotide ribosomal RNA is filed under the name uncultured bacterium. Its description in RNAcentral is "partial 16S ribosomal RNA". It matches the Rfam family "Bacterial small subunit ribosomal RNA", at positions 29 to 507 of the family's 1533-position model. The record is from RNAcentral.